Non-coding RNA from Camellia sinensis, 537 nucleotides. The record is from RefSeq and is a predicted model, not a curated record. Lineage: Eukaryota; Viridiplantae; Streptophyta; Magnoliopsida; Ericales; Theaceae.
UCAGAACUUCAAACAGAAGACUAAAAAGUGUUGUUGUCAAAGUUUGAUCCACAUCAACCUUUCCAAAUCAUUUGUAUUAAAGUGAAUUCUAUCGAGGAACUAGAUAACUACAAACGUAGGGUGUGAGAUUCACAGUUGUUCAAGCUUCACAAAAGAUUCCCAAUUCUAGCAAUGUCUCUUACAGAAAUGUAUCAAAAUCUCAGCCUCUUCAAUCAUUUUCAACUCUUGUUACUUGCAACCCUAUUAAUGAACCUUCCUUGUAACUAAAGCAUUAAAAGAAAGCAAGGUAUCUAAUCUACAAAAAAAUAGAUUAAUGAAAAAGGUAAAUGGCAGCAUAUACUAAACCCUAUAAGCCUUUCGUUCAAAUUCAAGCAUUGAAGGGGGCUAGAGCUAGAAAUAGAGCUUCCCAGUCUGAAAUCCAAUCAUCAAAACUAAAAAUUAAAGAAAAGGCAAGAAUAGAGACAACCUUAGACUCCAAUUUCUUAGAUUAUCUUAAUUUGGGUUUCGGAUUACCCAGACAAAAGGAACAUCUGAUGA